AAUCAACGCUGGCGGCGUGCCUCAGACAUGCAAGUCGAACGAUUAAAGCUCUCUUCGGAGAGUGUAUAGAGUGGCGCACGGGUGAGUAACACGUAAGUAAUCUACCUUUGAGUGGGGAAUAACAGUCGGAAACGGCUGCUAAUACCGCAUAAUGCAGCGGCAUCGCAAGAUGACAGUUGUUAAAGGAGCAAUCCGCUUAAAGAGGAGCUUGCGGCAGAUUAGCUUGUUGGUAAGGUAACGGCUUACCAAGGCUACGAUCUGUAUCCGGUCUAAGAGGACGGUCGGACACACUGACACUGAAUAACGGGUCAGACUCCUACGGGAGGCAGCAGUCGGGAAUUUUGGGCAAUGGGCGAAAGCCUGACCCAGCAACGCCGCGUGAAGGAUGAAGUAUUUCGGUAUGUAAACUUCGAAAGAAUAGGAAGAAUAAAUGACGGUACUAUUUAUAAGCUCCGGCUAACUACGUGCCAGCAGCCGCCGU
Molecule: ribosomal RNA, 481 nt
Filed under: uncultured bacterium
Lineage: Bacteria
Description: bacterial SSU rRNA
Rfam family: Bacterial small subunit ribosomal RNA
Source: RNAcentral